Molecule: long non-coding RNA, 690 nt
Organism: Bos indicus x Bos taurus (hybrid cattle)
Lineage: Eukaryota; Metazoa; Chordata; Mammalia; Artiodactyla; Bovidae
Source: Ensembl
GCGUGUCUGAGUUGGGCUCAGAUACAAGGCCUGCUCCUCUCAAAUUUCUCAGCUUAUCUCACAGGAAGAAGAGGUAUGGAUUCAGAGUAACUCUCCACCUCGCAGAGAACAUGAGUUCUAAGAAGAUAUUCAUCACACGGGGCAUGGAGAGAAAGGACGCAAGGGAACAGAAGAGCGAAAGGAAGGCAAUUCAAGCACAUAAGAAGCUGUGCCUCCCGUUGCUCGCUGCCUCUUUUGAGGACUCUCACAGCAGAUUCUUUGGCUUUUCACUUUACACAGCAGAUUCUUUACUUGCUGAGCCAUCAGGGAAGCUCUGAUUUCUUGAGUGAUUAAACCUUAAAUAAGUCUGGAUCUGGACCAUACUGUGAAAAGCCUCGCUUUGAAAGGUAGAAAUGUAAGUUUGCAUCAGAGAUCAUCCUUUUAUUGUGUUGAAGGCCAGGUCCUGCAUGCUGACAAAUAACAGACAGAAGUAAAAACACUGUCCUCUCCUCAUUACACUUAGUGCCCACCCUAACCUUAGAGCUGUCAGAGAACAGACAAAAAACUCAGGAGACUAGAGGGCCACCACUGUCAAAGGAAAACUGUUGUUUCUUGAGCUGAGAUUCUACAAGCUCUUCCUUGUCUAAUGUGCAUCAGGGAACAUAAGUUGAAGGUUUUUCAGGCAGAAGAAUACAUGAUUAUAAGUAGCUU